Molecule: ribosomal RNA, 210 nt
Filed under: uncultured bacterium
Lineage: Bacteria
Description: partial 16S ribosomal RNA
Rfam family: Bacterial small subunit ribosomal RNA
Source: RNAcentral
CGUGCAGCCGGGAAGACAAGUCAGAUGUGAAAUCCCGCGGCUCAACCGCGGAACUGCAUUUGAAAUUGUUUUUCUUGAGUACCGGAGAGGUCAUCGGAAUUCCUUGUGUAGCGGUGAAAUGCGUAGAUAUAAGGAAGAACACCAGUGGCGAAGGCGGAUGACUGGACGGCAACUGACGGUGAGGCGCGAAAGCGUGGGGGAGCAAACAGG